CCUACGGGUGGCAGCAGUGGGGAAUAUUGCGCAAUGGGCGAAAGCCUGACGCAGCGACGCCGCGUGAGGGAUGAAGGUCUUCGGAUCGUAAACCUCUGUUAGCAGGGAAGAACGGUCACUGUGCUAAUCAGCAGUUAAUUGACGGUACCUGCAAAGGAAGCCCCGGCUAACUCCGUGCCAGCAGCCGCGGUAAUACGGAGGGUGCGUGCGUUGAUCGGUAUUACUGGGCGUAAAGCGAGCGUAGGCGGUAUGUCAAGUCAAGUGUGAAAUCCCCGCGCUCAACGGGGGAACUGCCUUUGAAACUGGCAAACUGGAGUGUGUGAGAGGAUAGUGGAAUUCCAGGUGUAGGGGUGAAAUGCGUAGAUAUCUGGAGGAACAUCAGUGGCGAAGGCGACUAUCUGGCACAUAACUGACGCUGAGGAGCGAAAGCGUGGGUAGCGAACAGGAUUAGAUACCCUUGUAGUC
This 465-nucleotide ribosomal RNA is filed under the name uncultured bacterium. RNAcentral describes it as "partial 16S ribosomal RNA". It matches the Rfam family "Bacterial small subunit ribosomal RNA", at positions 338 to 795 of the family's 1533-position model. The record is from RNAcentral.